UAAGGUCAUUUAUGUUCAGAAAUGGAUGUAGCUGGCUUAUCAGCCAAAGCUGAUAAAAAGCACUCCUGGCCACUGCCUCAACCUGAGAGUUCAGGGAGAUCUCACUUAGGAGCAGAAAAUGCACUUUGUGGGCAGACCAUAAACCCUUAUCUGUUUUAUUUACUGCUCGGGGAUCAAGUUGAAUAACCCCAAGAAUAGCCAGAAAAUCACCAGACUUAUAGAUUUUGAUUUCCAGUUGGAAUAUCUUCCAGGUCUUCAAAAUACAACUGCAGAUUGUUUAUCUUGACUUGCACUUUCAGGCUAAGAGGGGAUCCCAGGAUGAGGCUGAAGGAAUCAUAAUUGUGCAAAUAGCUUCAUUCACUCACGAAGUAACCACAUCUUUUGAAUGGAAAGUGGACCUCAGUGCUGAUCAAGUGCUUACUGAACUUAAACCUUACAUAACUAAUGGAUAGCCACACAAAACAAGGUACCGGAACAUCUUCAACUAUGCAUGCCUGUACCAAGUGAGCUGUUUCUUCUUAAUGAGCUGGUGCUGAGGACUGAUAGUUUUGAUCACUUUUGCGCCUUACAAGCAAAAAUGAUCAAAAUUGCCCCAAAAAGAUCAUGUGUGCAUGAGAUUGACUAAAAGGUGAAUCAGAGAAAGUUUCUGGUGGCCAGGUAUGGACAAAUGGUAUGGACAUUGAAGAUGUGGCUUGUGCAGAAGUCUUUUGCCAUCCCCUUGGCUCCCAUGGUCUCUGGGGAAAAUCUUGCUCUGGAUAUAAUGGGAUCUUUUGAUAAUCAACCAACAAACCAAAGAUGUGUUAUAGUGAUGGUGGGUUACUAUUCCAAGUGGCUAUAAGUUUCAUUUGCUGACAUACUACAAACGAAGUGAUCCAAUUAAUGGCUGCAGUUUUUGCGAGAGGAAGUCUUCCUAAUGAACUAGUGAGUAACAAUGAGACACUGCUUACCUUAUUUGAAAUGGAGCAAUAUUUGCAAAACCAUGGGAUAAAACACAACACUAUUUCCUUCUACCAUCCUAGAGGGAAUGGCUUAGUGGAAAGAAUACACUACACAACAACAAUGCUGGAAAGAGGCAAUCCAUGAAACUCUAUUUCCUUAUCGAACUACUCCUCAUCCCACUGCAGGAAAAUCACAUUUUGAAUUGCCGAGAGGAUGCAAAGCUGCCGCCAAACUUAGCAAUGGCAACAACUGAUAGGGCUUUCCAUGCCAUCUCACCCUGAGGAUGCAGAGAUUCAUGAUCGGAUUGGCCUGGAGAAAAUCAUUCUGACUGUUUGAUGAGCUGCUGCAGCAAGGCCUUGUCAUAUGCUAACAGUGGUGACAUGGGACAAUUUAGAGUGGCCUCUACGUGGAAGGAAUGUGUACACCAGCCCGAACUGUCCACGUGCGAAUACCUCCUGUUCUUACUGGAUGAAGCUUCAAAGCAAGUCGCCAAAUUGCAUUUACCUUCCGAUUGAUUAAAGUCCUCUUCUUUUUAAAAAUA
Hemicordylus capensis (graceful crag lizard) is the source of this 1480-nucleotide long non-coding RNA. RefSeq lists it as uncharacterized. NCBI's taxonomy places the organism in Eukaryota, Metazoa, Chordata, Lepidosauria, Squamata, Cordylidae. The record is from RefSeq and is a predicted model, not a curated record. The transcript is spliced from 2 exons.